GGGGGGGGGGGGGGGGGGGGGGGGGGGGGGGGGGGGAAGGGGGGGGGGGUGGGGUGGGGGGGUGGGGGGGGGGCGAGCGGGGGAGGAACACGUGGGUGACCGGCCAUUGACUGUGGGAUAACGGCAGGGAACGGGGGCUAAUACCGGAUAGGGGCUCCUGACGCCUGGGGGGGGGUGGAAAGUAUCGGGGGGUGGGGAUGGACUCGCGGCUUAUCAGCUGGUGGGUGGGGUAGUGGCUUACCAAGGCUUUGACGGGUAGCCGGCCUGAGAGGGUGACCGGCCACAUUGGGACUGAGAUACGGCCCAGACUCCUACGGGAGGCAGCAGUGGGGAAUAUUGCACAAUGGGCGGAAGCCUGAUGCAGCAACGCCGCGUGCGGGAUGACGGCCUUCGGGUUGUAAACCGCUUUCGCCUGUGACGAAGCGUGAGUGACGGUAAUGGGUAAAGAAGCACCGGCUAACUACGUG
RNAcentral lists this ribosomal RNA (467 nucleotides) under uncultured bacterium. RNAcentral describes it as "partial 16S ribosomal RNA". The stretch from base 49 to 467 matches the Rfam family "Bacterial small subunit ribosomal RNA", at positions 39 to 507 of the family's 1533-position model. The record is from RNAcentral.